This 528-nucleotide ribosomal RNA is filed under the name uncultured bacterium. Its description in RNAcentral is "bacterial SSU rRNA". It matches the Rfam family "Bacterial small subunit ribosomal RNA", at positions 355 to 896 of the family's 1533-position model. The record is from RNAcentral.
UGGGGAAUUUUUGCGCAAUGGGCGAAAGCCUGACGCAGCAACGCCGCGUGGGUGAAGAAGGCUCUUGGGUCGUAAAGCCCUUUUCCGGGGGAAGAGAACAGACGGUACUCCGGGAAUAAGCACCGGCUAACUCCGUGCCAGCAGCCGCGGUAAUACGGAGGGUGCAAGCGUUGUUCGGAUUUACUGGGCGUAAAGGGCGUGUAGGCGGAUGUGAAAGCUGGGGGUGAAAGGCCAGGGCUCAACCCGGGACGAUCUCCCAGAACUACGCAUCUAGAGGGAGUCAGAGGCAGGUGGAAUUCCUGGUGUAGAGGUGAAAUUCGUAGAGAUCAGGAGGAACACCGGCGGCGAAGGCGGCCUGCUGGGACUCAUCUGACGCUGAGGCGCGAAAGCGUGGGGAGCAAACAGGAUUAGAUACCCUGGUAGUCCACGCUGUAAACGAUGAGCACUAGAUGUGCGAGGUUUACGACCCCUCGCGUGUCGCAGCUAACGCAUUAAGUGCUCCGCCUGGGGACUACGGUCGCAAGACUA